This 277-nucleotide ribosomal RNA is filed under the name uncultured Prevotellaceae bacterium. RNAcentral's name for it is "partial 16S ribosomal RNA". It matches the Rfam family "Bacterial small subunit ribosomal RNA", at positions 511 to 788 of the family's 1533-position model. The record is from RNAcentral. Lineage: Bacteria; Pseudomonadati; Bacteroidota; Bacteroidia; Bacteroidales; Prevotellaceae.
GCAGCCGCGGUAAUACGGAAGAUGCGAGCGUUAUCCGGAUUUAUUGGGUUUAAAGGGAGCGUAGGCGGGCUGUUAAGUCAGCGGUAAAAUGUCAAGGCCCAACCUUGUCCUGCCGUUGAAACUGGCGGUCUUGAAUGCACACAAGGGAGAUGGAAUUCGUCGUGUAGCGGUGAAAUGCUUAGAUAUGACGAAGAACUCCGAUUGCGAAGGCAGUCUCCUGGGGUGUAAUUGACGCUGAGGCUCGAAAGUGCGGGUAUCAAACAGGAUUAGAAACCCC